RNAcentral lists this microRNA precursor (76 nucleotides) under Myotis lucifugus (little brown bat). Its description in RNAcentral is "mir-9229 microRNA precursor family". It matches the Rfam family "mir-9229 microRNA precursor family". The record is from Rfam by way of RNAcentral. Lineage: Eukaryota; Metazoa; Chordata; Mammalia; Chiroptera; Vespertilionidae.
GAGACGCCCUUAUGGGGUAAGACUUGCUUCAGUGGGGCUUUGGUGCUCACUGCGUCUGCCCCCUGAGUGUGUCCCU